RNAcentral lists this small nucleolar RNA (74 nucleotides) under Bison bison bison. RNAcentral's name for it is "Small nucleolar RNA SNORA77 (ENSBBBG00000003549.1)". It matches the Rfam family "Small nucleolar RNA SNORA77", at positions 49 to 125 of the family's 125-position model. From Rfam's summary of the family: ACA63 (SNORA77) is a member of the H/ACA class of snoRNAs that guide the sites of modification of uridines to pseudouridines. Lineage: Eukaryota; Metazoa; Chordata; Mammalia; Artiodactyla; Bovidae. The record is from RNAcentral.
GUCUGCCACAGGAACUUGCGGGGGCUGUGACCUCUGCCCUGUUACGGGCAGCACAGCUACCCCGGUACACGGGU